Molecule: long non-coding RNA, 2478 nt
Organism: Lathyrus oleraceus (garden pea)
Lineage: Eukaryota; Viridiplantae; Streptophyta; Magnoliopsida; Fabales; Fabaceae
Exons: 3
Source: RefSeq, a predicted model, not a curated record
ACGACAUAAAACCUUCCAAAACGACGUCUCAAAACAGAGAUUCAAAUACCAAUCUGAAAUAAACGCGACUUCCGGCGACACCACCGUGGAUAAGCCAAGGUUUUGUUAGAAACUUCCAAUCUCAGCAAAGCGUCACGAAUCCUCAACGUCCUCACACGUCUUUCAUCAAGAAGUGGCUUCAAAACUUCGUGCCACCGUCUAUGGAAACCGACAAUGACGACGACGAUUUCACAACCUAUCUCAACCCUUAUACUUGGAAUUCCCAAACGAAAUAUGAUUCCCCUGCCGACGCCUCGUUGCCGACUUCAAAUUCUCAUCCUCAAUCGCAUCUCGUGCUUCCAUCGUGCAUCAACGUUAACCAUCAAGGCGAAGGAUAAAUACUUACCGGUUAAUUUCGAAGCGACGACUCAGCGUGAUCUUUGAUUUUGCUUUUGUGGAUCACCAUCCCGUGCCUUUCGUCGUUGUCCUCCGAACUUCCGCUUUCUUGAUUGUGUGUUGGUUAUGCGUUGACGUCGUUCUUUGUUGUUCGUGGUGAAGAUUUGGAUGCUGCCGCAAGAUGAAAUGUUGUUGGUUGAAGGAUGAACAAUCAAGAUUCAAUGCCUUGCCGUCGUCAAUCUGGGGAGAACAAGAGAGUCACGGCGCGGGCAAGCUUGGGUGUAUGAAAACCAAUGCAGAAUCUCUGCAGAGUGAAGAAGAAAUAGUGUAGGAUGAGGAUUUUCCAUACAGAAGAAGCUGGUGAAAGAAGAAGAUGAUGAGUGAUUGAGUCCAGUUCUCUGAAUGGAAUCGUUCCCUUUGAUUAGGUGCUGAAUGAAGGUUUUUUAUAGCGUUGAUUAGAGUUGUUAUCAGGGCUGAUGGAUUGUUUUCAACUGAAUGGGAGAUUUCUAGCUGGCAGUCAGUUAGAGUAGAAUUCAGUUACAUUUCGGUUGGAAGUUGGUUGUCGAAAACCGUUUUGUUCUGUUAUGCCUUUUUUCAGUUUCUAUUGGAAUACGAUUAGGAGGAGUCAGUUGUGUGUAAUCCAGUUAGGAGUCAGAAGAGUGAUGGUUCGGUUAUGGUUCUCUUAUAAGGUUGUUAAAAGGAUGAAAUCUGGUUAGUUAUGAUAGGGAUAAUGCCUCACCCAACAUAGACCUUAUGUGUACUUCAAGGCAAGAUCUUUUUGUAUGGCAUCAAGUUCCUCCGGAGAUUGAGCAGAACUUUUCUUCAUAAUACCUCUUCUUCCGACCAGGUUCUCUCAACUUAAUCUUGUCCUCGUUACCAUCUUUUGAGUUGAACACAUCAUUUCUGUUGCGAAGUAUCCCCUUCACUACGAACUGCCGCAUUUAAGUUUAACAACGCCUUCCAUGAAAGUUUGAAGAAUGAAGGAUACCAAUAUAUAGUGAAGCGACAACGGAUAAACCUGAAUUAUCAUUAUCAUUUGAAACUGAGAAUGAUGCAAGAAACACAAGCCCAUUCAGCAGAUUUUCAAUAACCAGUUUGGUCAAACGUGGCUUGCCAACACUAGGAAUGUCUUUGAAGUUCAUACACAAUUUUAUCAAAUUGAAGAAUUAGCCCAUUUUUCUUUUUUGAAUCUCUAUCUCCCCUUUAUCAUACAAAACAAUGUUUAAGCAGAAGCAUAGAUCUCUUAAUCUACGAGCUAGGUCGGAGAAAUAAUCGGAAACCAGAGGAGCCAAUAUAAAUUGAUACACCAUGUCAUCACUAACAUUGUGUAUAUUGAGAACUAAUGAACGUAUUGCUGUCUGAACCAUCUUUUCCUCAUGAUGAGCAAAUCCUAAAGCCUACAACAUUCCCAUGAACCUUCACAAGGAGUCAAAGUAUGUUGCACAUAGUACGAAGCUAAAUCUCCCCCGUCAAAUUUGCAGGGAUGCGAAAUAAUGUUGUUAAUAUAACUAUUAUUGCAGCAAUAGUAAAUUGCUUGUUUGCUAUCCAUGUUUUGAAUCAUUAUGCUCAAGUACGGAAGCAGUGGCGCAUUAAUCUUUGGAUUUCCAUUGGUCUUUAGUGUGCGUACAACAUCUGUGAGCCCUUGGUCCUUGGUGUUCCAUGCAACAUUAAAAAAUUUAAAGGAUCUCGUCUAUCACCGUAGGUCCCCAAUACAUUGCAAUAAAUCCACCACAUAUUCCCUAUUAUUCUCAUUGACAACUUUGAUUUUCAGCAGUUCACUAAUUACACAUUUGAAGUGUUGAAUGGAGAAUCGACCGUCGGUGUGUAAUUUGAAUUGGUUUAAUGGUUGUAAUGGAAUUGUGUGUAAUUUGGACAUUAUUGUAGUUUUGAACACUUGGAUUGAUGGUUGUAAUUGAUUCAAAGGGAUGUGACUAUGUAUGGUUUAAUAUCAUGUAGGAUAAUGCAUGCAAUUUGGUCAAGUGACAUGUAAUUUAUAGAAUUGCAUGUAAAUGGUCUUGGAAGGUUUCAAAAUUUGUAAUGUGUUUUCCCAUGAAAGUUUAUGGAAUUAUGUAAGGUUAUAUUGAAAUUGAAAUUUGUAUUACA